RNAcentral lists this ribosomal RNA (1410 nucleotides) under metagenome. RNAcentral's name for it is "bacterial SSU rRNA". It matches the Rfam family "Bacterial small subunit ribosomal RNA". The record is from RNAcentral.
UGCAAGUCGAACGGAGGUUGCAGCGAUGUAGCCUUAGUGGCGAACGGGUGAGUAACGCGUUGGUGACCUGCCCCAAAGCGAGGGAUAACAGAUCGAAAGGUCUGCUAAUACCGCAUGAGGUCUUGAAGGUUAGAGGCUUGAAGACGAAAGCAGCGAUGCGUUUUGGGAGGGGCCUGCGUCCCAUCAGCUAGUUGGUAAGGUAAAGGCUUACCAAGGCGACGACGGGUAGGGGACCUGAGAGGGUGACCCCCCACACUGGCACUGAAACACGGGCCAGACACCUACGGGUGGCAGCAGUAGGGAAUAUUGCACAAUGGGCGAAAGCCUGAUGCAGCAACGCCGCGUGCGCGAUGAAGGCCUUCGGGUCGUAAAGCGCUUUUCGGGGAGAAGAGGAAGGACGGUAUCCCCGGAAUAAGGAUCGGCUAACUGCGUGCCAGCAGCCGCGGUAAAACGUAGGAUCCGAGCGUUAUCCGAAUUCACUGGGCGUAAAGCGCGUGCAGGCGGUACGGUAAGUUGGAUGUGAAAUCUCCUGGCUCAACUGGGAGAGGACGUUCAAUACUGUCGAACUAGAGGGCGGAAGAGGGAGGUGGAAUUCCCGGUGUAGUGGUGAAAUGCGUAGAUAUCGGGAGGAACACCAGAGGCGAAAGCGGCCUCCUAGGCCGCACCUGACGCUCAGACGCGAAAGCUAGGGGAGCAAACGGGAUUAGAAACCCCGGUAGUCCUAGCCGUAAACGAUGUAGACUUGGUGUUGGAGGUGUAAAAACCGCCGGUGCCGAAGCAAACGCGAUAAGUCUACCGCCUGGGGACUACGGCCGCAAGGUUAAAACUCAAAGGAAUUGACGGGGGCCCGCACAAGCAGCGGAGCGUGUGGUUUAAUUCGAUUUACGCGAAGAACCUUACCCGGGUUUGACAUGCAGGAGGUAGGGAACCGAAAGGGGACCGACCCGCAAGGGAGCCUGCACAGGUGCUGCAUGGCUGUCGUCAGCUCGUGUCGUGAGAUGUCCGGUUAAGUCCGGUAACGAGCGCAACCCACGUCGUAUGUUACAAGUGUCAUACGAUACUGCUGGUAUAAAGCCGGAGGAAGGUGUGGAUGACGUCAAGUCAGCAUGGCCUUUAUGUCCGGGGCUACACACACGCUACAAUGGCCAGUACAAUGGGUAGCAAAGCCGCGAGGUGGAGCCAAUCCGCAAAGCUGGUCACAGUUCAGAUUGUAGGCUGCAACUCGCCUACAUGAAGUCGGAGUUGCUAGUAACCGCGCGUCAGCAUUAGUGCGGUGAAUACGUUCCCGGGCCUUGUACACACCGCCCGUCACGUCAUGGGAGCUGGCAACACCUGAAGCCGGUAGCCUAACCGCGAGGAAGGCGCCGUCGAAGGUGGGGCUGGUGACUGGGACGAAGUCGUAACAAGGUA